RNAcentral lists this small RNA (179 nucleotides) under Chrysemys picta bellii (western painted turtle). RNAcentral's name for it is "TUC338 (ENSCPBG00000017539.1)". The record is from RNAcentral. Lineage: Eukaryota; Metazoa; Chordata; Testudines; Emydidae.
UUGAAAGUCAUGGAGACUGAAGUACUCCAUUUACCCACAGAAACAGCUACAGCAUGGAUAACAGCACAGAAAGUUUCCCUCUCCCUGGCUUGCAGUGUACCUCAACCCUGUCCUGGAGGAACCACUUCUAGGAGUGAAAAAAUAGUUCAGUCUCCAUGUUCUUUCAUUAUUUGGCACCU